UACGUAGGGUGCAAGCGUUGUUCGGAAUCAUUGGGCGUAAAGGGCGCGUAGGCGGUUUGGUAAGUCAGAUGUGAAAGCCCAGGGCUCAACCUUGGAAGUGCAUCUGAGACUGCUGAACUAGAGUAUCGGAGAGGGUGGUGGAAUUCCCAGUGUAGAGGUGAAAUUCGUAGAUAUUGGGAGGAACACCGGUGGCGAAGGCGGCAUCCUGGACCGGUAUUGACGCUGAGGCGCGAAAGCCAGGGGAGCAAACGGG
Molecule: ribosomal RNA, 253 nt
Filed under: uncultured bacterium
Lineage: Bacteria
Description: partial 16S ribosomal RNA
Rfam family: Bacterial small subunit ribosomal RNA
Source: RNAcentral